CCUACGGGUGGCAGCAGUGAGGAAUAUUGGUCAAUGGACGUAAGUCUGAACCAGCCAUGCCGCGUGCAGGAAGACGGCUCUAUGAGUUGUAAACUGCUUUUGUACGAGGGUAAACGCAGAUACGUGUAUCUGUUUGAAUGUACCGUAUGAAUAAGGAUCGGCUAACUCCGUGCCAGCAGCCGCGGUAAUACGGAGGAUUCAAGCGUUAUCCGGAUUUAUUGGGUUUAAAGGGUGCGUAGGCUGUCGGAUAAGUGAGAGGUGAAAUCUCGGGGCUCAACAUCGGAAUUGCCGCUGAUACUGUUCGGCUAGAGAGUGGUUGCGGUAGGCGGAAUGUGUGGUGUAGCGGUGAAAUGCUUAGAGAUCAUGCAGAACACCGAUUGCGAAGGCAGCUUACCAAGCUACUACUGACGUUGAGGCACGAAAGCGUGGGGAGCAAACAGGAUUAGAUACCCCAGUAGUC
RNAcentral lists this ribosomal RNA (460 nucleotides) under uncultured bacterium. Its description in RNAcentral is "partial 16S ribosomal RNA". It matches the Rfam family "Bacterial small subunit ribosomal RNA", at positions 338 to 795 of the family's 1533-position model. The record is from RNAcentral.